This 445-nucleotide ribosomal RNA is filed under the name uncultured bacterium. RNAcentral's name for it is "partial 16S ribosomal RNA". It matches the Rfam family "Bacterial small subunit ribosomal RNA", at positions 354 to 796 of the family's 1533-position model. The record is from RNAcentral.
GUGAGGAAUAUUGGGCAAUGGGCGCAAGCCUGACCCAGCCAUGCCGCGUGCAGGAAGACGGUCCUAUGGAUUGUAAACUGCUUUUAUACGGGAAGAAACACUCCCUCGUGAGGGAGCUUGACGGUACCGUAAGAAUAAGGAUCGGCUAACUCCGUGCCAGCAGCCGCGGUAAUACGGAGGAUCCAAGCGUUAUCCGGAAUCAUUGGGUUUAAAGGGUCCGUAGGCGGCCUUAUAAGUCAGUGGUGAAAUCCCAUCGCUCAACGAUGGAACUGCCAUUGAUACUGUAAGGCUUGAAUAAUUGUGAAGUAACUAGAAUAUGUAGUGUAGCGGUGAAAUGCUUAGAUAUUACAUGGAAUACCAAUUGCGAAGGCAGGUUACUAACAAUUGAUUGACGCUGAUGGACGAAAGCGUGGGGAGCGAACAGGAUUAGAUACCCGAGUAGUCC